This 22-nucleotide non-coding RNA is filed under the name Arabidopsis thaliana (thale cress). Lineage: Eukaryota; Viridiplantae; Streptophyta; Magnoliopsida; Brassicales; Brassicaceae. The record is from RNAcentral.
UGGAGGUGGUGGCGAUCUCUGC